RNAcentral lists this ribosomal RNA (492 nucleotides) under uncultured bacterium. RNAcentral's name for it is "partial 16S ribosomal RNA". It matches the Rfam family "Bacterial small subunit ribosomal RNA", at positions 29 to 507 of the family's 1533-position model. The record is from RNAcentral.
AGUGAACGCUGGCGGUAGGCCUAACACAUGCAAGUCGAACGGCAGCACAGUAAGAGCUUGCUCUUACGGGUGGCGAGUGGCGGACGGGUGAGGAAUACAUCGGAAUCUACUUUUUCGUGGGGGAUAACGUAGGGAAACUUACGCUAAUACCGCAUACGACCUACGGGUGAAAGCAGGGGAUCUUCGGACCUUGCGCGAUUGAAUGAGCCGAUGUCGGAUUAGCUAGUUGGCGGGGUAAAGGCCCACCAAGGCGACGAUCCGUAGCUGGUCUGAGAGGAUGAUCAGACACACUGGAACUGAGACACGGUCCAGACUCCUACGGGAGGCAGCAGUGGGGAAUAUUGGACAAUGGGCGCAAGCCUGAUACAGCCAUACCGCGUGGGUGAAGAAGGCCUUCGGGUUGUAAAGCCCUUUUGUUGGGAAAGAAAAACAGCAGGUUAAUACCCCGCUGUUCUGACGGUACCCAAAGAAUAAGCACCGGCUAACUUCGUG